UGGGGAAUAUUGCACAAUGGGGGAAACCCUGAUGCAGCAACGCCGCGUGCGGGAUGACGGCCUUCGGGUUGUAAACCGCUUUCAGCCAUGACGAAGCUUUUGUGACGGUAGUGGCAGAAGAAGCACCGGCUAACUACGUGCCAGCAGCCGCGGUGAUACGUAGGGUGCGAGCGUUGUCCGGAAUUAUUGGGCGUAAAGAGCUUGUAGGCGGUUUGUCGCGUCGAAAGUGUAAACUCAGUGCUUAACGCUGAGCCUGCUUUCGAUACGGGCUGACUAGAGGAAGGUAGGGGAGGAUGGAAUUCCCGGUGGAGCGGUGGAAUGCGCAGAUAUCGGGAGGAACACCAGUGGCGAAGGCGGUUCUCUGGACCUUUCCUGACGCUGAGAAGCGAAAGCGUGGGUAGCAAACAGG
Molecule: ribosomal RNA, 409 nt
Filed under: bacterium
Lineage: Bacteria
Description: partial 16S ribosomal RNA
Rfam family: Bacterial small subunit ribosomal RNA
Source: RNAcentral